Molecule: long non-coding RNA, 567 nt
Filed under: Equus caballus (horse)
Lineage: Eukaryota; Metazoa; Chordata; Mammalia; Perissodactyla; Equidae
Description: lncRNA (ENSECAG00000039270.3)
Source: RNAcentral
GUUCAGGCCACAUGGAGAGGCCAAGAGUGAGAGUUCUAGCUGACAUCAGCCACCAGACAUCACUGGCCACUCCAGAAAGGACCACUCACAUAUGGUCUACAUUAUCGAUGGGGCUGUGAACGAUGCUGCUUGGAGCCGUGCAACAAGCCACCUGUCAACACCCUGCAGGAGGGGAGCUGCAUGAGGCAUGACAAAGAAGACAAAGUAAGCUCUGGACACCUAGACAAAGACCACAGAAACAACAGAGGUGUUGUGGCAACAUGAGAAGAGCACUGGCCUGAGAGAUCCUAUCUCCCGGGCUGGCCCCGUGGCCGAGUGGUUAAGUUCGCGCGCUCCGCUGCAGACGGCCCAGUGUUUCGUCGGUUCGAAUCCUGGGCGCGGACAUGGCACUGCUCGUCAGACCACGCUGAGGCAGCGUCCCACAUGCCACAACUAGAGGAACCCACAACGAAGAAUACACAACUAUGUACCGGGGGGCUUUGGGGAGAAAAAGGAAAAAAUAAAAUCUUUAAAAAAAAAAAAAAAAAAAGAUCCUAUCUCCAAAUACAGUCACAUUCUGAGAUACUG